CAGCCGCCGCGGGAAUACGUAGGUGGCAAGCGUUGUCCGGAAUUAUUGGGCGUAAAGCGCGCGCAGGUGGUUUAAUAAGUCUGAUGUGAAAGCCCACGGCUCAACCGUGGAGGGUCAUUGGAAACUGUUAAACUUGAGUGCAGGAGAGAAAAGUGGAAUUCCACGUGUAGCGGUGAAAUGCGUAGAGAUGUGGAGGAACACCAGUGGCGAAGGCGACUCUCUGGUCUGUAACUGACGCUGAGGAGCGAAAGCGUGGGGAGCGAACAGGAUUAGAUACCCCUGUAGUCCCUGUCUCUUAUAC
RNAcentral lists this ribosomal RNA (301 nucleotides) under uncultured bacterium. Its description in RNAcentral is "partial 16S ribosomal RNA". It matches the Rfam family "Bacterial small subunit ribosomal RNA", at positions 509 to 807 of the family's 1533-position model. The record is from RNAcentral.